UACAGAGGUCUCAAGCGUUGUUCGGAUUCAUUGGGCGUAAAGGGUGCGUAGGCGGCUUGUUGCGUCGACUGUGAAAACCUGCGGCUCAACCGUGUGGUCUGCAGUCGAUACGGGCAGGCUGGAGUUCGGUAGGGGAGACUGGAAUUCCUGGUGUAGAGGUGAAAUUCGUAGAUAUCAGGAGGAACACCAGUGGCGAAGGCGGCUUUCUGGACGGUAACUGACGCUGAGACGCGAAAGCGUGGGGAGCAAACAGG
Molecule: ribosomal RNA, 254 nt
Filed under: uncultured bacterium
Lineage: Bacteria
Description: partial 16S ribosomal RNA
Rfam family: Bacterial small subunit ribosomal RNA
Source: RNAcentral